UCACAUCCCUACUCGACUCCUUUGCUUGUGCACUGCUUCGACGGGGACACGCUGCGGCCUGGGACCUUCUGGAGCUCGUCGAAUCAUUUCCGAAUUCAGUCCAACAUACGGACUAUCUAACCGGGCUACUGCGCAGAGACGCCGCUCUCCUCUCCAGUCCCGUAUCGCAGCGAUCCGAAACGCAGUGGCGAGAGAGGCUCAGAGUUACGCGGACGGACCGGGAAUUUCUCACGCUCCUAUACGGGCUCGCGAUCGGCGGCAAUCGGGAAUGGUUGCUUCGUCUUGCGGCGGAGGACGCCCAGGUCGCUAGCCCAUAUCAUCGUGCCCGGGCACUGACGAUCCUUGCUGUCGCGGACGACGACGGCUUCGCCUUUGACCAAACUGCGGGCGUGUACAAGGGAGGUGGCACGUGGUACGAAGACCUAACGAAUUGGUUGCAGUCAUACCGGGCCCGCGGCCAAGCAAUGGGCCACUGGCUCGAUAGGUUGCUCUCGCCAUGCACGCCGGCUGAUCGUUGCGCAGCUGCCCACCUUUUCCAGCAUUGCGCAGACAUACGAGGUAGGCAUCUGAUCGAGAGUCGCCGACAGGCUUGUCAGAACGUUCAGGACUUCGACAUUGGAAUUCGAUGGCUCGAUACCGAUAAGCUCAGGAAAGCGUCGAACAGCGUAGAGAAGCAACUGGAUGAGCGCCUUAUGGGUCAGAAGACUUUGAGGCAUGACGCCGUGCCGUGGCUAGACGAUUGAGGGCUUGGCCAGUGCAAGCAACACUGGAAACAAAGCGCUCGGAACUUCGGCAACCGUCCCGGUCCUCGCUGUGUUCGCGACCGGUUGUGCCCGUACAGUAACCCGAACGCCCGCUUACCAUUGAGCAACUCAGCUCACGGUUCCCAGCGCCGACUCGCAACCGUGAGGGCGUUUGGUUGCGAGCUGGGCCGCCU
This 937-nucleotide unclassified non-coding RNA is filed under the name uncultured fungus. Its description in RNAcentral is "sequence contains 18S rRNA gene, ITS1, 5.8S rRNA gene, ITS2, 28S rRNA gene". Lineage: Eukaryota; Fungi. The record is from RNAcentral.